UUUUGAUAUUCAUAAUAAUUCCAAAUGCUGUGCCUCGAUCGUGCACAUCAGAAAAGCUGAAAAGAUGUUGAUGUGGGCAUUUGCUAUUCAGUCUUCCAAAGACCUAGACCAAAACCAAAACCAAGUAACAGAUAGGGUACAGAUAUGGAGGCCACAGGCUUGCUUUCAACAUCUCUUGGAUGGACAGUGGGUUCACAGGUGUUGUGACUGUGUCUUCUAAUUUACAUAUACGUUGCAGAGAUUUCUUUGAAGCUUCCCGGUGUUUAAUAAUUAAAAUUUCACUCCCUCACUGUAAAUUAUUCCGAAGAAGGCUUAAUGAGCCAAGCAUAGUAACAUUUAUUAGCUUAACAACACCAUUCAUAUUUCCACUGAACUUCCUGGAUGUAAAAGAAAAUUUAUGCAGGAAUUGGUCGAUUGCCUUUGGGAAAAGUAUUAAUAAUGUCUUCCUGUUGGUGUUUAUGGGCUCAAGGACAUAAAGAAUGUGAGGCAACCAAGGACUUACCACAUAAUGAUCCCUUUUCUCCUUUUUCUUUCUUUCUUUCUUUCUUUCUUUCUUUCUUUCUUUCUUUCUUUCUUUCUUUCUUUUUUUCAUCAGGGUCUCAUGACAAGAGAUGUUCUGUUUUAGUGGGAGAUCACUGAUUCUGUAACUACUAAGCAGUGAGGAGACUUUCUUUGAGAGUUUGCUGUGGCCCCGGGGAACUUAAAUGCCCCCAAACUAAGACCCUCUUGCCUCGCACACGACGUGUUGCCCCUCUGUCAGAUUUUUGACUUCGAUCAGCUCGCGCCUUUUCCCAACGUGGUUCAUGAGGUGGCAGGUGGAAUAUUCAAAAAGAGCCUGGCUUCUGGAAUCAGACAGCUUUGCAUUUGAGUCCUGAUGGCAUGACCUUAGGAAAGGCACUUAAGCUUUCCCCAGUUUCCUCAACUGUGACAUCGUGAGGACCUCCUAUGCCCUGAAGGACCGAACUAAGCCAAACACACAAAGGCACCUGGCCACGGGACUUGAUCUUUUCCCGAACUUUCUCCUUGGCAUUUGGACGUUGGCUGCCUGGCAUCCUUUCGGGCUUGGCUAACCACUUUGGCCCCAGAGUUUCCUAUCGCCUCAGGUGAGAAUACUUCCCUCUUCACCCUGGUUUCCUGCCAAUGGGCUCCCAACACCUGCCCAAGUCUGAAU
Leopardus geoffroyi (Geoffroy's cat) is the source of this 1171-nucleotide long non-coding RNA. RefSeq lists it as uncharacterized. The transcript is spliced from 3 exons. The record is from RefSeq and is a predicted model, not a curated record. NCBI's taxonomy places the organism in Eukaryota, Metazoa, Chordata, Mammalia, Carnivora, Felidae.